Molecule: ribosomal RNA, 90 nt
Filed under: Escherichia coli
Lineage: Bacteria; Pseudomonadati; Pseudomonadota; Gammaproteobacteria; Enterobacterales; Enterobacteriaceae
Description: partial 23S ribosomal RNA
Source: RNAcentral
UGAUAGGUUGGAUGUGGAAGCAUAGUGAUAUGUGAAGCUGACCAAUACUAAUUGCUCGUGAGGCUUGACUAUACAACACCCAAGCAGUUG